Molecule: ribosomal RNA, 205 nt
Filed under: uncultured bacterium
Lineage: Bacteria
Description: partial 16S ribosomal RNA
Rfam family: Bacterial small subunit ribosomal RNA
Source: RNAcentral
UGCGCAGGCGGCGGCUCAAGUCAGGUGUGAAAUCCCCGGGCUUAACCUGGGAAUUGCGCUUGAAACUAGGCUGCUUGAGUGUGGCAGAGGGGGGUGGAAUUCCACGUGUAGCAGUGAAAUGCGUAGAGAUGUGGAGGAACACCGAUGGCGAAGGCAGCCCCCUGGGUCAACACUGACGCUCAGGCACGAAAGCUGGGAGCAAACA